This 72-nucleotide transfer RNA is filed under the name Bos taurus (domestic cattle). It matches the Rfam family "tRNA". From Rfam's summary of the family: Transfer RNA (tRNA) molecules are approximately 80 nucleotides in length. Their secondary structure includes four short double-helical elements and three loops (D, anti-codon, and T loops). RNAcentral also lists the same sequence under 4 other names. Lineage: Eukaryota; Metazoa; Chordata; Mammalia; Artiodactyla; Bovidae. The record is from Rfam by way of RNAcentral.
UCCCUGAUGGCUCAGACGGUAAAGAAUCUGUCUGCAAAGCGGGAGACUCAGGUUCAAUCCCUGGGUGGGGAA